GCUUCCGGCCCUGUCCCAAAUGGCGCACUUCAUGUGGACUUUCGGUCUCGUGGCCUUAAAUUGCGCGUUCUCGCUUAGUCUACGAGUCCGGAGGGUGUCCCAUCUGUCAUUUUUACGCUUUGAAGUGUGCUCAUCAGCGCCUCCUUUGCCUCCUUGAUGCGGUCUUCAGCGAAGCCCGCACUGCAGCAGGCUUUGCGCACUUUGCCAACCCAGAAGUCCUUGCGAAAGGGCAAUCAGACCAAUCAGACGACGGAAGGGAGGAGUUCACACUGAUGGGCAACUUCUCUACCUAUUUCCGGUGUGAUGCUCGAGUCUGUCCCAAAAUACGACUCCGGUGCACCCACGUGCACUCACAUCAAGGGUCCCUAAAGUCUGGACUACGUGAUGUCAUCAAAGUGUGGACUCUGAGGAGGACCACAAGUACGGAGUGUGCCAUUUGGGACAGGGCAUUUGUUGUUUAUAUUAUACGCAUGCAUUAAACAGAAAUCUCAAGAUUUUCCUUAUAUCAAUAACCUCGCAUGUGAUUGGAGGAGCCUGACAGGCUUCUCGCCUUCGUCCAAUCACGUGCGAGGUCAUGGCCACGCCUCACGGCUCACACAGCAGUACAAAACGAGCAUAAGAGACGUUUGGUUUGGUGUUUGUAACUCUCCAAGAAGAGAAGACGGGUGCACAAUCCCAAGAUUGCGGUAAGAACAAUUUUAUGUAAAAGCAUAUUUUUAAGUAGCCCAAGUUGUGUGUUUUAUAUCUUAGAGGUGUUUUUGUCUUGUAAUUUUUAGGAGGCGUCUCUGAGGCACACUGCAGGCACUAUGAACCAGAGCAAGGACUAACGUCGCCUCAUAACAAAACCGUGACCUCCUAUUUGCUUGGGGCUAUUUCAGCAAGUCCAGAUUUAACUGCUGAGAAUGAUGACAUUGUUUCUGCCUGUAAGACGUAUUAUGAGUCGGUACACCAGAGCUUCAGAUACAAACAACCUGAACUCGCAUCGCAGGCGAAAAUGCGAAAAGUUUAGCUCGGAGUCGAUCCAGAAGAAAGAGGUUGUUGGAAGCGAGGAAGUGGAAGUGCGCCACCAUAGAUCUCAUGUCUGAUGAAGACGGCAUUGUUGACGGGGUGUCUGGAUGGAUUGUGCGGCCACCGCCCUCUUGCAGCCUGGAACUCUCCGAGCGCUGUGCCACGCUGAAAUCCAGAUUAGAGGCGAUA
Molecule: non-coding RNA, 1197 nt
Organism: Paramisgurnus dabryanus
Lineage: Eukaryota; Metazoa; Chordata; Actinopteri; Cypriniformes; Cobitidae
Source: RefSeq, a predicted model, not a curated record